Molecule: small nucleolar RNA, 111 nt
Filed under: Erinaceus europaeus (western European hedgehog)
Lineage: Eukaryota; Metazoa; Chordata; Mammalia; Eulipotyphla; Erinaceidae
Description: Small nucleolar RNA U3 (ENSEEUG00000022453.1)
Rfam family: Small nucleolar RNA U3
About the family: Small nucleolar RNAs (snoRNAs) are involved in the processing and modification of rRNA in the nucleolus.
Source: RNAcentral
GUGUUCUCUCCUGAGCAUGAAGUCAACUCUCUGAGUUGCUUCUGCAACUGUCUUCUGCCAUUGAUGGUCGUUCUUCUCUUCCUUUGGUAGAGGAGAGGGAGAGGACAUAGU